This 253-nucleotide ribosomal RNA is filed under the name uncultured bacterium. Its description in RNAcentral is "partial 16S ribosomal RNA". It matches the Rfam family "Bacterial small subunit ribosomal RNA", at positions 524 to 776 of the family's 1533-position model. The record is from RNAcentral.
UACGUAGGCAGCGAGCGUUGUUCGGAGUUACUGGGCGUAAAGAGUGCGUAGGCGGUUUUCUAAGUUUGGUGUGAAAUCUCCCGGCUUAACUGGGAGGGUGCGCCGAAAACUGGAAGGCUUGAGUAUGGGAGAGGUAAGCGGAAUUCCUGGUGUAGCGGUGAAAUGCGUAGAUAUCAGGAGGAACACCUGCGGUGUAGACGGCUUACUGGACCAUAACUGACGCUGAGGCGCGAAAGCUAGGGGAGCAAACAGG